RNAcentral lists this transfer RNA (72 nucleotides) under Urocitellus parryii (Arctic ground squirrel). RNAcentral's name for it is "Spermophilus parryii (Arctic ground squirrel) tRNA". It matches the Rfam family "tRNA". Rfam says of the family: Transfer RNA (tRNA) molecules are approximately 80 nucleotides in length. RNAcentral also lists the same sequence under 1 other name. Lineage: Eukaryota; Metazoa; Chordata; Mammalia; Rodentia; Sciuridae. The record is from Rfam by way of RNAcentral.
GGUUGUGUAGCUCAGUGGUAGAGCUCUUGCCCCGCAUGCAUGAGGCACUGGGUUCGAUCCUCAGCACCACAU